ACCUGGGUGGCUCAGUGGGUUAAGCAUCUGACUUCGGCUCAGGUCAUGAUCUCACGGUUCGUGGGUUCGAGCCCCGCAUCGGGCU
Molecule: transfer RNA, 85 nt
Filed under: Felis catus (domestic cat)
Lineage: Eukaryota; Metazoa; Chordata; Mammalia; Carnivora; Felidae
Also listed under: 1 other name
Rfam family: tRNA
About the family: Transfer RNA (tRNA) molecules are approximately 80 nucleotides in length. Their secondary structure includes four short double-helical elements and three loops (D, anti-codon, and T loops).
Source: Rfam by way of RNAcentral